UUUAAAGAAGACUUAGUGACCUUAGAUAAUUCGGAGAAACACAUGCGCUUUGAACGUGCUUCCUGCUUCGUAGUAACGUGUGAUUAAAUAUCCUUAAUCAGCUAAUACGUUUAUAAUACUUGUGAUCGGUGCUCAUAAUGAAUUUCUCAACUACCUGAUACUCACAUAUAUCACAACAUUAUCCUCUGUGAAACAUAUCCGUAAGUAUUAAGCAAUGAAAAUUUUCAAUGUUUUAAAUUCUGUAGACGUUCGGUUUUUGGCGCGUAGGUUAUUUAUGUAUUACGUUCUAUGAACAAUUUGUGCGGAUUUAGCUGCUAUUUCUAUUCAUGGAAGAUAGAUGUCCAUGAUUUAUUCGAGAUUUUGGCUACUCUUUCUAGCUACGGAAGCCACCUUCUGCUUUCUCCAUCGUUGCCCCGUUUGUUUGUUUUAGUUUGAGAAAUGUUCUGAAGUGUUUAGUAGCCAAUACUUUAUUUUAAUUUAUCGAUUUGUGUCCAACCAAGUAGUAAUUUGUUUGCUCAUAUCUUUCUACAAAAUGGAUAAUAUUAAAUAGAAAUAGCUGAAAAUACAUCUCAUGCGGUGAAAAUCUUACACUGUUGUUUCUAUAUAAUUUCAGAACAUCUGACAACAUCGAUGUAACAGAAUGAACAUCCUCAAUAUCUA
This 660-nucleotide long non-coding RNA is filed under the name Octopus vulgaris (common octopus). Lineage: Eukaryota; Metazoa; Mollusca; Cephalopoda; Octopoda; Octopodidae. The record is from RNAcentral.